RNAcentral lists this ribosomal RNA (461 nucleotides) under uncultured soil bacterium. RNAcentral describes it as "bacterial SSU rRNA". It matches the Rfam family "Bacterial small subunit ribosomal RNA", at positions 26 to 536 of the family's 1533-position model. The record is from RNAcentral.
AGAACGAACGCUGGCGGCAGGCUUAACACAUGCAAGUCGAACGGUUGUAGCAAUACAGCAGUGGCAGACGGGUGAGUAACACGUGGGAACCUUCCUAGGGGUACGGAACAACUCAGGGAAACUUGAGCUAAUACCGUAUACGUCCGUAAGGAGAAAGAUUCAUCGCCCCUAGACGGGCCCGCGUAGGAUUAGGUAGUUGGUGAGGUAACGGCUCACCAAGCCUACGAUCCUUAGCUGAUCUGAGAGGAUGAUCAGCCACACUGGGACUGAGACACGGCCCAGACUCCUACGGGAGGCAGCAGUGGGGAAUCGUUGGACAAGUGGGCGCAAGCCUGAUCCAGCCAUGCGCGUGAGUGAAGAAGGCCUUCGGGUAGUAAAGCUACUUUUACCAGGGACGAUAAUGAACGGUACCUGGAGAAAGUAACGACCCCGGACCGAAACUUCGUAGACCACGGACAACG